GGGGUUGUGGCUCAGUGGUAGAGUGCUUGCCUAGCAUGUAUGAGGCAUUGGGUUCGUAUCCCCAGCACCA
RNAcentral lists this transfer RNA (70 nucleotides) under Ictidomys tridecemlineatus (thirteen-lined ground squirrel). Its description in RNAcentral is "Spermophilus tridecemlineatus (thirteen-lined ground squirrel) tRNA". It matches the Rfam family "tRNA". From Rfam's summary of the family: Transfer RNA (tRNA) molecules are approximately 80 nucleotides in length. Lineage: Eukaryota; Metazoa; Chordata; Mammalia; Rodentia; Sciuridae. The record is from Rfam by way of RNAcentral.